This 292-nucleotide ribosomal RNA is filed under the name uncultured Streptococcus sp. Its description in RNAcentral is "partial 16S ribosomal RNA". It matches the Rfam family "Bacterial small subunit ribosomal RNA", at positions 1090 to 1382 of the family's 1533-position model. Lineage: Bacteria; Bacillati; Bacillota; Bacilli; Lactobacillales; Streptococcaceae. The record is from RNAcentral.
CAACGAGCGCAACCCUAUUGUUAGUUGCCUAUCAUUCAGGUUGGGCACUCUAGCGAGACUGCCGGUAAUAAACCGGAGGAAGGUGGGGAUGACGUCAAAUCAUCAUGCCCCUUAUGACCUGGGCUACACACGUGCUACAAUGGUUGGUACAACGAGUUGCGAGUCGGUGACGGCGAGCUAAUCUCUUAAAGCCAAUCUCAGUUCGGAUUGCAGGCUGCAACUCGCCUGCAUGAAGCCGGAAUCGCUAGUAAUCGCGGAUCAGCAUGCCGCGGCGAAUACGUUCCCGGGCCUU